GAUGAAGAACGUAGCGAAAUGCGAUAAGUAAUGUGAAUUGCAGAAUUCAGUGAAUCAUCGAAUCUUUGAACGCACAUUGCGCCCCCUGGUAUUCCGGGGGGCAUGCCUGUUCGAGCGUCAUUUCUCCACUCAAGCCUCGCUUGGUAUUGGGCAACGCGGUCCGCCGCGUGCCUCAAAUCGACCGGCUGGGUCUUCUGUCCCCUAAGCGUUGUGGAAACUAUUCGCUAAAGGGUGUUCGGGAGGCUACGCCGUAAAACAACCCCAUUUCUAAGGUUGUCCUCGGAUCAGGUAGGGAUACCCGCUGAACUUAAGCAUAUCAAUAAGCGGAGGA
This 331-nucleotide unclassified non-coding RNA is filed under the name soil metagenome. RNAcentral describes it as "partial contains 5.8S ribosomal RNA, internal transcribed spacer 2, and large subunit ribosomal RNA". The stretch from base 1 to 120 matches the Rfam family "5.8S ribosomal RNA", at positions 35 to 154 of the family's 154-position model. The record is from RNAcentral.